GCGAUCAUACCAGCACUAAUGCACCGGAUCCCAUCAGAACUCCGCAGUUAAACGUGCUGGGAGAGAGUAGUACUAGGCUGGGUGACAUCCUGGGAAGUCCUCGUGUGGCACCCC
Molecule: ribosomal RNA, 114 nt
Filed under: Populus tomentosa
Lineage: Eukaryota; Viridiplantae; Streptophyta; Magnoliopsida; Malpighiales; Salicaceae
Source: RNAcentral